GGGUUGUGAGGUUAAGCGACUAAGCGUACACGGUGGAUGCCCUGGCAGUCAGAGGCGAUGAAGGNNNCCGAAUGGGGAAACCCAGUGUGAUUCGUCACACUAUCAUUAACUGAAUCCAUAGGUUAAUGAGGCGAACCGGGGGAACUGAAACAUCUAAGUACCCCGAGGAAAAGAAAUCAACCGAGAUUCCCCCAGUAGCGGCGAGCGAACGGGGAGGAGCCCAGAGCCUGAAUCAGCAUGUGUGUUAGUGGAAGCGUCUGGAAAGGCGCGCGAUACAGGGUGACAGCCCCGUACACAAAAGCGCAUGUGCUGUGAGCUCGAUGAGUAGGGCGGGACACGUGGUAUCCUGUCUGAAUAUGGGGGGACCAUCCUCCAAGGCUAAAUACUCCUGACUGACCGAUAGUGAACCAGUACCGUGAGGGAAAGGCGAAAAGAACCCCGGCGAGGGGAGUGAAAAAGAACCUGAAACCGUGUACGUACAAGCAGUGGGAGCNNNNNNNNNNNNNNNNNNNNNNNNNNNNNNNNNNNNNNNNNNNNNNNNNNNNNGGGCGUUAAGUUGCAGGGUAUAGACCCGAAACCCGGUGAUCUAGCCAUGGGCAGGUUGAAGGUUGGGUAACACUAACUGGAGGACCGAACCGACUAAUGUUGAAAAAUUAGCGGAUGACCUGUGGCUGGGGGUGAAAGGCCAAUCAAACCGGGAGAUAGCUGGUUCUCCCCGAAAGCUAUUUAGGUAGCGCCUCGUGAAUUCAUCUCCGGGGGUAGAGCACUGUUUCGGCUAGGGGGCCAUCCCGGCUUACCAACCCGAUGCAAACUGCGAAUACCGGAGAAUGUUAUCACGGGAGACACACGGCGGGUGCUAACGUCCGUCGUGAAGAGGGAAACAACCCAGACCGCCAGCUAAGGUCCCAAAGUCAUGGUUAAGUGGGAAACGAUGUGGGAAGGCCCAGACAGCCAGGAUGUUGGCUUAGAAGCAGCCAUCAUUUAAAGAAAGCGUAAUAGCUCACUGGUCGAGUCGGCCUGCGCGGAAGAUGUAACGGGGCUAAACCAUGCACCGAAGCUGCGGCAGCGANNNNNNNNNNNNNNNNNNNNNNNNNNNNNNNNNNNUGCUGGAGGUAUCAGAAGUGCGAAUGCUGACAUAAGUAACGAUAAAGCGGGUGAAAAGCCCGCUCGCCGGAAGACCAAGGGUUCCUGUCCAACGUUAAUCGGGGCAGGGUGAGUCGACCCCUAAGGCGAGGCCGAAAGGCGUAGUCGAUGGGAAACGGGUUAAUAUUCCCGUACUUGGUGUUACUGCGAAGGGGGGACGGAGAAGGCUAUGUUGGCCGGGCGACGGUUGUCCCGGUUUAAGCGUGUAGGUGUGUGUUCCAGGUAAAUCCGGUUCACUUUAACACUGAGGCGUGACGACGAGGCACUACGGUGCUGAAGCAACAAAUGCCCUGCUUCCAGGAAAAGCCUCUAAGCAUCAGGUAACACGAAAUCGUACCCCAAACCGACACAGGUGGUCAGGUAGAGAAUACCAAGGCGCUUGAGAGAACUCGGGUGAAGGAACUAGGCAAAAUGGUGCCGUAACUUCGGGAGAAGGCACGCUGACACGUAGGUGAAGUGAUUUACUCAUGGAGCUGAAGUCAGUCGAAGAUACCAGCUGGCUGCAACUGUUUAUUAAAAACACAGCACUGUGCAAACACGAAAGUGGACGUAUACGGUGUGACGCCUGCCCGGUGCCGGAAGGUUAAUUGAUGGGGUCAGCGCAAGCGAAGCUCCUGAUCGAAGCCCCGGUAAACGGCGGCCGUAACUAUAACGGUCCUAAGGUAGCGAAAUUCCUUGUCGGGUAAGUUCCGACCUGCACGAAUGGCGUAAUGAUGGCCAGGCUGUCUCCACCCGAGACUCAGUGAAAUUGAACUCGCUGUGAAGAUGCAGUGUACCCGCGGCAAGACGGAAAGACCCCGUGAACCUUUACUAUAGCUUGACACUGAACAUUGAGCCUUGAUGUGUAGGAUAGGUGGGAGGCUUUGAAGUGUGGACGCCAGUCUGCAUGGAGCCGACCUUGAAAUACCACCCUUUAAUGUUUGAUGUUCUAACGUGGACCCGUAAUCCGGGUUGCGGACAGUGUCUGGUGGGUAGUUUGACUGGGGCGGUCUCCUCCUAAAGAGUAACGGAGGAGCACGAAGGUUGGCUAAUCCUGGUCGGACAUCAGGAGGUUAGUGCAAUGGCAUAAGCCAGCUUGACUGCGAGCGUGACGGCGCGAGCAGGUGCGAAAGCAGGUCAUAGUGAUCCGGUGGUUCUGAAUGGAAGGGCCAUCGCUCAACGGAUAAAAGGUACUCCGGGGAUAACAGGCUGAUACCGCCCAAGAGUUCAUAUCGACGGCGGUGUUUGGCACCUCGAUGUCGGCUCAUCACAUCCUGGGGCUGAAGUAGGUCCCAAGGGUAUGGCUGUUCGCCAUUUAAAGUGGUACGCGAGCUGGGUUUAGAACGUCGUGAGACAGUUCGGUCCCUAUCUGCCGUGGGCGCUGGAGAACUGAGGGGGGCUGCUCCUAGUACGAGAGGACCGGAGUGGACGCAUCACUGGUGUUCGGGUUGUCAUGCCAAUGGCACUGCCCGGUAGCUAAAUGCGGAAGAGAUAAGUGCUGAAAGCAUCUAAGCACGAAACUUGCCCCGAGAUGAGUUCUCCCUG
This 2667-nucleotide ribosomal RNA is filed under the name Salmonella enterica subsp. enterica serovar Typhimurium. Its description in RNAcentral is "partial 23S ribosomal RNA". It matches the Rfam family "Bacterial large subunit ribosomal RNA". The record is from RNAcentral. Lineage: Bacteria; Pseudomonadati; Pseudomonadota; Gammaproteobacteria; Enterobacterales; Enterobacteriaceae.